GUUUCUAAAACAAUUAGAUUCUCGAAUUAAUAUUAAUGUUGCUUCAAACGCAGUAAUAAAUCCAAAUAUUAUACAAAAUACGACAAACAUAAUUCCUACAAAACCUUUUAAUAAAUAUAGAAAAUUGUUAGAGUUUGAUGAUAGCUUAACAGCAAAUAUAGUCGCAUCAAAACAAUUGGAAAUGUUCUUCUAUUUAUUAGGAGGGAAUACUGCCCAAGUUCAAAGUAAAAAUGGAUUGGAGAAACUAUUUACCAAUAAACUGGGAUGUAAAUGAUCUUGGUUUGGCCGCAAGGGAAAUUAUCAAUUGUGCUCAUUACGUACAAUGGCAAUUUUAAGAGAUAGAAAUUUUCAAGAUCAUGUAUCCUCAUGGUUUAAAUAUGCAAAAAUUAGAUAUUUGAGAGAAAAAGCAGGCCGAGAUGAAAAAGAGAACACCGAAC
Long non-coding RNA from Trachymyrmex cornetzi, 437 nucleotides. RefSeq lists it as uncharacterized. The transcript is spliced from 4 exons. The record is from RefSeq and is a predicted model, not a curated record. Lineage: Eukaryota; Metazoa; Arthropoda; Insecta; Hymenoptera; Formicidae.